CUACAGAGGGUGCGAGCGUUAAUCGGAAUUACUGGGCGUAAAGCGCGCGUAGGCGGCUUAUUAAGUCAGAUGUGAAAUCCCCGGGCUCAACCUGGGAACUGCAUCUGAUACUGGUAAGCUAGAGUUUUGGAGAGGGAAGUAGAAUUUCAGGUGUAGCGGUGAAAUGCAUAGAGAUCUGAAGGAAUACCAGUGGCGAAGGCGACUUCCUGGCCAAAAACUGACGCUGAGGUGCGAAAGCAUGGGUAGCAAACGGGAUUAGAAACCCCUGUAGUCC
RNAcentral lists this ribosomal RNA (274 nucleotides) under uncultured bacterium. RNAcentral describes it as "partial 16S ribosomal RNA". It matches the Rfam family "Bacterial small subunit ribosomal RNA", at positions 523 to 796 of the family's 1533-position model. The record is from RNAcentral.